RNAcentral lists this ribosomal RNA (253 nucleotides) under uncultured bacterium. RNAcentral describes it as "partial 16S ribosomal RNA". It matches the Rfam family "Bacterial small subunit ribosomal RNA", at positions 524 to 776 of the family's 1533-position model. The record is from RNAcentral.
UACGUAGGGGGCGAGCGUUGUCCGGAGUUACUGGGCGUAAAGCGCUUGUAGGCGGUCCACCAAGUUUGGGGUGACAGUUGCCGACUUAAUCGGCAAAGUGCCUCAAAGACUGGCGGACUUGAGGGCCACAGAGGGACAUGGAAUUCCAGGUGUAGUGGUGAAAUGCGUAGAUAUCUGGAAGAACACCAAAGGCGAAGGCAGUGUCCUGGGUGGUCGCUGACGCUGAGAGGCGAAGGCGUGGGGAGCGAACGGG